RNAcentral lists this transfer RNA (71 nucleotides) under Bos taurus (domestic cattle). It matches the Rfam family "tRNA". From Rfam's summary of the family: Transfer RNA (tRNA) molecules are approximately 80 nucleotides in length. Lineage: Eukaryota; Metazoa; Chordata; Mammalia; Artiodactyla; Bovidae. The record is from Rfam by way of RNAcentral. RNAcentral also lists the same sequence under 4 other names.
UCCCUGGGGGUCCAGUGGCAGGACUCAGCACUUUUACUGCUGACUCCCAGGUUCAAUCCCUGGUCAGGGAA